This 378-nucleotide unclassified non-coding RNA is filed under the name uncultured Parachlamydiaceae bacterium. Its description in RNAcentral is "contains 16S-23S intergenic spacer region". Lineage: Bacteria; Pseudomonadati; Chlamydiota; Chlamydiia; Parachlamydiales; Parachlamydiaceae. The record is from RNAcentral.
UCCUGGUUAACCCAGGCAGUCUCACUAGAGUUCCCACCUUUACGUGUUGGCAACUAAUGAUAAGGGUUGCGCUCGUUGCGGGACUUAACCCAACACCUCACGGCACGAGCUGACGACAGCCAUGCAGCACCUGUGUAGAAGCCCCGAAGGGCUGACAUAUUUCUACGUCAUUCCUCUACAUGUCAAGUCUGGGUAAGGUUCUUCGCGUUGCAUCGAAUUAAACCACAUGCUCCACUGCUUGUGCGGGUCCCCGUCAAUUCUUUUGAGUUUCAGCCUUGCGACUGUACUCCCCAGGCGGUAUACUUAACGCGUUCGCUACGGCACAGCCAGGGUUGAGUCCGGCUACACCUAGUAUACAUCGUUUAGGGCAAGGACUAC